CCUACGGGGGGCAGCAGUGGGGAAUAUUGGGCAAUGGGCGCAAGCCUGACCCAGCAACGCCGCGUGAAGGAAGAAGGCUCUCUGGUUGUAAACUUCUUUUAUCAGGGACGAAGCAAGUGACGGUACCUGAUGAAUAAGCCACGGCUAACUACGUGCCAGCAGCCGCGGUAAUACGUAGGUGGCAAGCGUUAUCCGGAUUUACUGGGUGUAAAGGGCGUGUAGGCGGGAAAGCAAGUCAGAUGUGAAAACCAUGGGCUCAACCUGUGGCCUGCAUUUGAAACUGUUUUUCUUGAGUACUGGAGAGGCAGACGGAAUGCCUAGUGUAGCGGUGAAAUGCGUAGAUAUUAGGAGGAACACCAGUUGCGAAGGCAGUAUGCUGGACAGCAACUGACGCUGAGGCGCGAAAGCGUGGGGAGCAAACAGGAUUAGAUACCCGGGUAGUC
Molecule: ribosomal RNA, 443 nt
Filed under: uncultured bacterium
Lineage: Bacteria
Description: partial 16S ribosomal RNA
Rfam family: Bacterial small subunit ribosomal RNA
Source: RNAcentral